AGAGUUUGAUCAUGGCUCAGAUUGAACGCUGGCGGCAGGCCUAACACAUGCAAGUCGAACGGAAACAUGUCUAGCUUGCUAGAUGAUGUCGAGUGGCGGACGGGUGAGUAAUACUUAGGAACAUGCCUUUGGGUGGGGGAUAACUAUUGGAAACGAUAGCUAAUACCGCAUAACGUCUACGGACCAAAGGGGGCGCUUGCGCUCUCGCCUAAAGAGUGGCCUAAGCGAGAUUAGCUUGUUGGUGAGGUAAAGGCUCACCAAGGCGACGAUCUCUAGCUGGUCUGAGAGGAUGAUCAGCCACACUGGGACUGAGACACGGCCCAGACUCCUACGGGAGGCAGCAGUGGGGAAUCUUGCACAAUGGAGGAAACUCUGAUGCAGCGAUGCCGCGUGAGUGAAGAAGGCCUUUGGGUUGUAAAGCUCUUUCGUCGGGGAAGAAAAUGACUGUACCCGAAUAAGAAGGUCCGGCUAACUUCGUGCCAGCAGCCGCGGUAAUACGAAGGGACCUAGCGUAGUUCGGAAUUACUGGGCUUAAAGAGUUCGUAGGUGGUUGAAAAAGUUGGUGGUGAAAUCCCAGAGCUUAACUCUGGAACUGCCAUCAAAACUUUUCAGCUAGAGUAUGAUAGAGGAAAGCAGAAUUUCUAGUGUAGAGGUGAAAUUCGUAGAUAUUAGAAAGAAUACCAAUUGCGAAGGCAGCUUUCUGGAUCAUUACUGACACUGAGGAACGAAAGCAUGGGUAGCGAAGAGGAUUAGAUACCCUCGUAGUCCAUGCCGUAAACGAUGUGUGUUAGACGUUGGAAAUUUAUUUUCAGUGUCGCAGGGAAACCGAUAAACACACCGCCUGGGGAGUACGACCGCAAGGUUAAAACUCAAAUGAAUUGACGGGGACCCGCACAAGUAGUGGAGCAUGUGGUUUAAUUCGAAGAUACGCGCAGAACCUUACCAACACUUGACAUGUUCGUCGCGACUCUAAGAGAUUAGAGUUUUCGGUUCGGCCGGACGAAACACAGGUGCUGCAUGGCUGUCGUCAGCUCGUGUCGUGAGAUGUUGGGUUAAGUCCCGCAACGAGCGCAACCCUCACUUUUAGUUGCCAUCAUUAAGUUGGGCACUCUGAAAGAACUGCCAGUGAUAAGCUGGAGGAAGGUGGGGAUGACGUCAAGUCCUCAUGGCCCUUACGUGUUGGGCUACACACGUGCUACAAUGGCAUCUACAACAGGAAGCAAAACGGCAACGUUAAGCAAAUCCCGAAAAGAUGCCUCAGUUCGGAUUGCACUCUGCAACUCGAGUGCAUGAAGCUGGAAUUACUAGUAAUCGUGGAUCAGCGUGCCACGGUGAAUGCGUUCCCGGGUCUUGUACACACCGCCCGUCACACCAUGGGAGUUGGUUCUACCUUAAGGCAAGGUUUUAAACCCUUGACCACGGUAUAGUCAGCGACUGGGGUGAAGUCGUAACAAGGUAGCCGUAGGGGAACCUGCGGCUG
Molecule: ribosomal RNA, 1480 nt
Filed under: marine metagenome
Description: bacterial SSU rRNA
Rfam family: Bacterial small subunit ribosomal RNA
Source: RNAcentral